RNAcentral lists this ribosomal RNA (381 nucleotides) under uncultured marine Chaetocerotaceae. RNAcentral describes it as "SSU rRNA". It matches the Rfam family "Eukaryotic small subunit ribosomal RNA", at positions 587 to 972 of the family's 1831-position model. Lineage: Eukaryota; Bacillariophyta; Thalassiosirophyceae; Chaetocerotales; Chaetocerotaceae. The record is from RNAcentral.
AGCUCCAAUAGCGUCUAUUAAAGUUGCUGCAGUUAAAAAGCUCGUAGUUGCAUUUCCGAGGCAAGGGAUUAGUCCGACCUUUGGUGGGUAUUUAAUCCUCUUGCCUCGUCCUUGAGUGGUGCUUCUUGGUAUUAAGUUAUCGAGGAGAUAGCCGCUCAUCGUUUACUGUGAGAAAAUUAGAGUGUUCAAAGCAGGCUUAUGCCGUUGAAUAUAUUAGCAUGGAAUAAUAAGAUAGGACCUCGGUACUAUUUUGUUGGUUUGAGAACCAAGGUAAUGAUGAAUAGGGACAGUUGGGGGUAUUCGUAUUCAGUUGUCAGAGGUGAAAUUCUUAGAUUUACGGAAGACGAACUACUGCGAAAGCAUUUACCAAGGAUGUUGUCA